RNAcentral lists this ribosomal RNA (490 nucleotides) under uncultured bacterium. Its description in RNAcentral is "partial 16S ribosomal RNA". It matches the Rfam family "Bacterial small subunit ribosomal RNA", at positions 30 to 507 of the family's 1533-position model. The record is from RNAcentral.
AUUGAACGCUGGCGGCAGGCCUAACACAUGCGAGUCGAACGGUAACAGGAAGAAGCUUGCUUCUUUGCUGACGAGUGGCGGACGGGUGAGUAAUGUCUGGGAAACUGCCUGAUGGAGGGGGAUAACUACUGGAAACGGUAGCUAAUACCGCAUAACGUCGCAAGACCAAAGAGGGGGACCUUCGGGCCUCUUGCCAUCGGAUGUGCCCAGAUGGGAUUAGCUAGUAGGUGGGGUAACGGCUCACCUAGGCGACGAUCCCUAGCUGGUCUGAGAGGAUGACCAGCCACACUGGAACUGAGACACGGUCCAGACUCCUACGGGAGGCAGCAGUGGGGAAUAUUGCACAAUGGGCGCAAGCCUGAUGCAGCCAUGCCGCGUGUAUGAAGAAGGCCUUCGGGUUGUAAAGUACUUUCAGCGGGGAGGAAGGGAGUAAAGUUAAUACCUUGGCUCAUUGACGUUACCCGCAGAAGAAGCACCGGCUAACUCCGUG